RNAcentral lists this ribosomal RNA (417 nucleotides) under uncultured bacterium. RNAcentral describes it as "bacterial SSU rRNA". It matches the Rfam family "Bacterial small subunit ribosomal RNA", at positions 356 to 773 of the family's 1533-position model. The record is from RNAcentral.
GGGGAAUAUUGCGCAAUGGCCGCAAGGCUGACGCAGCGACGCCGCGUGGGGGAUGAAGCAUUUCGGUGUGUAAACCCCUGUUGCCCGGGACGAACCUCUCCUUUCGAGGAGACUGACGGUACCGGGUGAGGAAGCACCGGCUAACUCCGUGCCAGCAGCCGCGGUAAUACGGAGGGUGCGAGCGUUGUCCGGAAUCACUGGGCGUAAAGGGCGCGUAGGCGGUGACUUAAGCGUGUGGUGAAAGCCCGGGGCUCAACCCCGGGUCGGCCGUGCGAACUGGGUCACUUGAGCACUGUAGAGGCAGGUGGAAUUCCGGGUGUAGCGGUGGAAUGCGUAGAGAUCCGGAAGAACACCAGUGGCGAAGGCGGCCUGCUGGGCAGUAGCUGACGCUGAGGCGCGACAGCGUGGGGAGCAAAC